Gymnodraco acuticeps is the source of this 7246-nucleotide RNA transcript. RefSeq lists it as uncharacterized. The record is from RefSeq and is a predicted model, not a curated record. The transcript is spliced from 9 exons. NCBI's taxonomy places the organism in Eukaryota, Metazoa, Chordata, Actinopteri, Perciformes, Bathydraconidae.
CUCUGCGACAGCGAGCAUCGAGAAGGAAACACCCGAGGAGACACACAACCUUUCUGUCUGUGUACAACCGUAGCAGCUAACCAGGGAAAUAAUCCCUUAUAAACAGCAUAAUGUAAGGUUUAAAUGUUUGCAUAUAAAAACGCCAUGAUCGCACCGGAAGCAGACGACGUUAUAUGCAGUUUGGUACAAAAUGAGCAGCAACAGUAAACGAGAGAGGGAGCAGAGGAGGAAGCUGCAGCACUUUCUGAAUGACCUGGCCUUACUCGGGUCUUUACAGGGAUUUAAAUACUUCCAGCCUUGGCUCAGAGGGAAAGAGGAGCUGCUGCUGACCGUCGUUAACGAGGAUCUGGGUUUUCGCUCUCCAGGCUUCGUGGUCUCCAGAGCCUCCUCCCUCUCCUCCAUCAGCAGCUGUAACAGCAGCGAUGUCUCCCCCAGCAGCAGCUCCCCCAGCCUGGGCAGUCGAGGCAGCUCUCCCCUGCCUGGAGAGGAACCUCCGGGCCCCCGAGAGCCUCCGCCACACACACACACCAAGACGCAGCCACACACUGUCAGGGAGGCUUGCAGUGAGGAGCAUCUCCUCCCAGCCUCCCCCAGUGAGAGAGAGAUAGCGGUUCCUGAGGUGAACUGCACUCUGUUCCUACUGGCCGGCUACGUGAAGUACGGACGGCCCUACGCCUGGAUCCGCUCCAAUCACGAGCGCCUGGUUAACAUCGGGGGCACCGACUCCAUGGUCAAAGACACGCCCAUGAAACUCAAGUCCAUCUCAGACUGGCAGACGCGAGGUAUGGAAACAAUGUAUUCGCGUGUGGGAUGUCAUCAGCGAGCUUGUGUGUCUGUGCACCGUCCCCUCUCCCUCCAACCCCUUCGCUCUGGACAUGCGCUACAUCCAAAACCUUCCCUUCCCCGACCGCUUCCUGGUCACAGGCGCUCUCCUUAACUUCCUGGAUACGUAUGUGGUUUACGGUAACCGGGACGAGUUGCACUAUGACAAAGUGGUGGAAGAGGUGAAGCCUUUGAGGCGUCUUCACGUCCAAUCCCUGCUGGAGUUACAGCGACAAAGGGAGGGCUCUUCUGGAGAGGAGUGACUUUAAUCUUAAGCCAUUCUUUCAACAUCCUAGCUCCUCAGAAGUGACUUGCAGAUAAAACCACCAACUGUUCCAAGGUGGUGACCAUUGUUAAGCGACCCCUUGAGCAGGAAACAGCUUUGCAUUCUCUCCCCCCCCUCCCCCCCCAACCAAAAUAUUUCUCCUAUAAACAAUGGCAUGCUUUUGUGAGUAUGUCACAUCGCAAAAAGGGACGCAAGUUGACCUAAAGUCUCGCCCAGACCCAGGGCAUGCACACAGCUACACCUGUGGGCUGUACACAACUUUCACCUGGAAACUCACAGACAGAUAGCUGGCUGUUUUGCAUUUACGCAAGACUGCUUUACAACGACAACACCGGUGUAUCCUGUGCUCAAUAACCAAAAGAGUACAAGAUAAAGUUACAAACACGUCAUGUGCCUGAAAAUACUUGUCUACAUGAUCUGAAUGAACAACUUUACUUCAAUCUGACGUGCAAAGAGCUGUCACAUCCGCAGUCCAUCCUGUGGGUGAAUAUGUAUUCAUUUAUUCUGUAGCCAAAACUCAUGUAGAGAUUCUUGCUCCAAACUAUAUUCUAAAUAAUGUAUACAAUAAUAUAUCUCCAUAAAGAGGUCAUUUUAAGGAUACAUUUGUUGUGUAAUCUUGCAUCAACACACAAGAUAGAAUUUAUGUAUGUAUUGCAUUCACACUACUUUUCCAUGCUACACUUAUUAUUAUUUAUUUUUUAAAUACUGUUACUCUACCUAUUGUUGUCCACCUUUGUAAAUUGUAAUUUCCAUCUCUAAUGUUUUAUGCAUGCUUAUAUUAAAUGUUUUGCCUCCUUACUUUUGCUGUGAGAGUGUAAAUGUCCCCACUGUGGGACUUAUAAAGGUAUUGAGAUUGAGAUUAUUUAGAUGAAACAAAGCAACAAACAAGGAAUUAAGGUAAACCCAAUCCAAAAUAUAUAAAUACUGAUUGAGCAAUGGCAAAUUAUUUCUCCAAACUUUUUUUUCUGGUCAUUUUCUCCUUCUUUGUAUGCCGAAUUAACCAAAAGAGCCUACUGAUUACCUACAUCUAAUAAACAAGAUAUACUGUGCUGUAUAGUUGCAGAAAUAGGCGAGAUAACUUUAAAUUGGCUGAUUUUUUAAUGUGGUUUGGCGAACCCCGGUGUAAGAGCCAAACUGUCAAAAAACCUGUUACAUUUCUGAGUGCAUUUCACCUUUACCUAUGAAAAAGUCGAUUUAAAAACGUUAAAAAAAAUGUAUCUUACCUGGCCACAGUUUCAUGCAAACGAUGUCCUUUAGCGUCUCAGGUGAACCUGGUGUUUUGAAACUGGGCAGGUGGAAGUGUGCUAUCCUGCACGCUUUUACGCAAAACCAGCUUGAAAAGUCCUUAUUGUUGAAAGAAAUAAUCGAUUAACCGAGUCGGUUUCGGUUGUCCCGUGAGUUCAGUGUUCGUCUUGCGUAAAUAGAUGUUUAAAUGAGUUUAUGUGCAGGCUGGAUCAUGCUCUCAUUUCUCUGCUCGCGGUGAGUUGAAUGAAUGUGAGCGCUAGCGCGACAACCGUUUUUAAAAGAGUGUAGGCGCGGGCUCGUCACACACGUGGACGAGCGCUGGUGUCAGAGCCAAGUCAGAGCAGAGAGGAGGCUGGUUGUUCUGAGGGGGGAAAGGAGGGAUGAUUUACAAUAGAAAAGGGAUUUACAGUACAUGAUAGGGUGGAUAACAAUGAACACUUACUGGCAUGGGUGUUUCAAAAGAAGAUGUAUGGCAUACCUCCUUCAUGUACAUAUUUAAAUGCCCCUUUAUCAUAGUUUUCAAUGGUGGAAAGUAACUGAGUACAUUUACUCAAGUGCAUACACAUUGUAUACUACUUUAUACUUCUACUCUACUACAUUUUGGAAGCCAAUCUUGUUGGUUUUACUCCACUACAUUGAUAUACGUAUUUUACAGUUUCAGCUCCUUAAAUGUGAAGAGGUGUUGCCUUUGCUUUCACAUUUUUUAUUGUAUUUUGGUUUUUGCUGCCAUGAGUACAUUUACUCAGUUAUGGCACCAUUCUCAAAACAGUACUUUACUUGAAAUUGGGUAUUUUUACAGUGUGGUAUCAGUACUUUUACUCAAAUAAAGAAUCUGAAUACUUUUUCUAACACGGUGUGUAUGUCACCUGAAGUAGGGGUUAUAUCAACUCAUUUUACACUGUGUUGUAUCUGCUCUUUAUUGAAAAGAAUAUGACGUUUACACUGAGUGAAAUAUUCAAGAUUCCAUGGCUAUCAUUGUUCCUUAAAAUAUAAAUAUAUUUGUUGCGCAACAUCUAAUACAAAAUUACCCCAAAAUAUUCAGCCUGAAAGAUCUGUGGGAUUGAUAUAUAAUAUUUGACAAUACAUUGGGUCUCCAAUAUGGUAUUAUUUUGUAUACGUACAAAAUAUAAUUGGAUAUUUACCUUGGGGUUAGGGUUAAGGUUCUAAAAUAAGAGUAGAGGGUCAAUAGACAGCUAUUUUUCUAUUAUCAAUUAACCUUUUGGAUAAUUAUUUACUCAAAUAAAGCAUCAGAAAUGUUCCCAAAGCUGUCAUCCACAUUUUGUGUGUGACCCAUGAUAUGAAUAGUAGAGAGGAUGAUUUUGCAUUAACAUAACUAAUCAAAAGGAUUAAAAUGUAGGUUUUUUAUGACAAUAUAAGAGUUGUCAUCAUUUCACAAGCCCAUGACGCUAUGCUCCACCAACUGAAAGUUUCACAUUACCUGCUACAAGUCGAAAACAAGGCUUGAGGAAACAUCUGAAACCCACUACCUUUCAUUACCUCCACAUUGCGUCAGAGCCCCUCUCUAAUGGGGAUCGCUGGCCUCCCUGGUUCAGAUCUGCUUCAAGUGUUUAUUCUGGGGGCAUUUUGAACAGUGGCAGAGGGAAAAGUCUGAACGGUUCCAUGUGUGUAUGCGUCUAAGUGUGUGUGGCUGGGUGUGCCUGAUGUGGAGAAACAGUAGGGCCCCUGUUUCUCCUGGGUUUGGCCCAACAGCAGUUAAGUUCUGAACGUCACACUCGCCUCAGAGCCUAUAGCGGGACACACUGUAACUGUUCUUGGGGCCCCGGUGACAUAAUGGACCAUCUCAGACAUCAGGCUCCCACCCUCCUGACGUGUCUCACAAUAACAGCGAGUCAGCAUCCAAACUGUAGCAUACGCAGGCGUGCAGCUGCAGCUCUUAAGACAGGGGUGUCCAAACUUUUUUCAAUGAGGGCCACAUACAGAAAGAAAAUACGAAGGGCUCACUAGAGGAGAGCUAUAUUGCCUCAUAAGUUAAGUUAUAAGUUAGCAAAAUCAAUCAAAUGUAUGAUGUUUGAUACUUGAAAAUGCUUUAAGAAACACAACAGCCUAAAUCCCAGCUCUCCAGAGGGUUUACUUUAUUUAGUUACAAUCAGAAUCAGAAUACCUUUAUUCGUCCCACAGCUCAGUCCUUAAAACAGAAGCCUCAGAUUGCUUAUAAAAAGAGGAAACAUGAAGGGUAGAUUUCAAGGUUGGUAUGUAAAUAAGUUAUUGGGCUUUUUUUAAUCAACUGAGAUUUGUUUAAACAUUUUCCAACUUUAAUUUACAGAAUUUAUGUGAAAAGUGGGCUUAUUAAGACAUGAAUACGGUGUAAUAUAUUUCUACAUAUAUAUUCAAGAAGUACAAUAUAUGACAAGCACAAGUUAAUUUGUGGGGCAUAUUUCAUUAUACUUUUUGAAUUAGCUAAGGGCCGUUUCAAAAUGGACCGCGGGCCGCUUUUGGCCCCUGGGCCGUAGUUUGGACACCCCUGUCUUAAGAAGUGCAGACUUUACAGGUUUAACUCCCAACUAAAACACAUACUGUUUAUUUAAGAAAACACAAAUGUACUUUGUGUUUAGGCUGUAUUGAAUAAGAAAUAUUGUAUGCAAAAAAGAUACUCUGGAAAUAUUGGUUGGACAUUUCGUAGACGUGGAUGGUUCCCAGAGGAUAAACCCUACUGACUUUAAUUAUUCUCUGUACUUCUCCUGCACCAACAUUUAGAUUGAAGCUAAUUAGCAACUACUUUUUAGAUAGAAACUUUUCCCUUUUUCAGUGAAAUAUCAACAACUUAUAAUACAUGUUUGGCCUAGGUGGCUAGCAUGAUCAGAAAGCACAUUUCCAUGAGCUGUACUAAGUGAUAGGUAGGUUUGAUCAUGCUAAACUCAGUGAGUGAACACUUAACCAAUAUAUACAUGGUUAAAUUAUGCAACAAUAUCAAUAUCUACUGGAUAAACACCACAUUUUGAGUGAGAUAUUUAUAUAUUAUAUUAUAAGAGGUGUCCUAAUGGAAAUUACUUUUAUGGUGGUUAGUACCACCACCAUAAAAUGGACACUUGUUUUAUCAAUAAAAUAUUUAGUAUCAUGGAACCCUUGACAUUUAAACUAGUCUGUCCUGCUUAAAACUUCUGCAUUGUAUCAUAACCAUUUGGAGCAAUGGUUUUUAAUAUAAGUAGCUUUGAUUAUAUUCUUUGAGCAGAACAAUCUGAGUUCUUUGAGAGAAAAAAAACACCAAUUUCAAAUGUCAAUCUCUUCUAAUCAGAGUUCUGUUAAGAUAAUGGGCUCUAUUACAGACACACCCAAUUGUUCAGAAACUAAUUGGCAGCCAUUCAUUCAAAUGCCUUCACAGCACUUGUGACUGAAACCAGCCAAGUCUCAAGAGGUUGUUGCAAGUCAUUGUGGGGAAACAAAGACAAUCUCUGAGUGCAGCAAUGGGCAAGGUGAUGGGAAAUAGUAGGUUCAUGAGAGCAACACCUCAUGACACAACAGCUCAACUGAGAGGGGAUUUAGAGAGAAAUAUCACAGAUUGUACCUUUAAUCAAACAGGAGAGAGUGGCAGACAGGGAGAAAGUGGAGCGUUUGUUGAUGAGAUUAUCUAUAAAAACCCACUAAGGUUUACUGAGUUAUCUGUUUAACUCAUAUUUUCACAGGGUUUUGACCUCUGUUGAGGUUGCCAUAGUGGAACAUGUGAACAGGGAUGUAACACUGCUAUUGUUGGAAGCAGGGCGAACAAAUUAAGGAAGUAAAUUGACACAAUGUACUGUAAGCUCCCUCCCAUCCGUUGUAGAGAUGUUUUAUGCCCAGUUCCCUUUUUCUAAACCUCUGUAAAUCAGAUAUGAUUGGCAUUUAUUGAUGUAAACCUACAGCUAUAGGCUUGUAAACAGUGAAGACUUGUUCUAGUUCUACUGGAGCUAAGAACCACAACACAAUCGGUUCCUGGCACCAUUACAACCAGUGCUAUGAGUGCUGUUGAGAUCUCCAUAUCAAGUGAAUACUUAAAACGAAAGUUAAUUAUAAAUCAAAUAUGAUCAAUCAUAUUCUUGUAUAAACCCAUAAUGAUAAUGCUUCUGGUUAUGUCAUAGCCAUAGAAUAUGGCCCCUGGUAUACUCUCUCCCGGUAAAAGCUCUGUCCCUCAGAGCUGGGUUUUUGCUCUCUGUAAGGUUCUCUCGAACUUGGUAACUAUUGCUUAAAUCUCUGUGUAUUGAAUGCUGAGGGAAUGGUUUAGAUGAAAGUUUUGAACGAGAUUCUUAAACCAAUCAUUCUUAAAUGUGUUGGAAUUCUUAAACCAAUCAUUCUUAAAUGAGUUAGAAUUCUUAAACCAAUCAUUCUUAAAUGUGUUGGAAUUCUUAAACCAAUCAUUCUUAAAUGAGUUAGAAUUCUUAAACCAAUCAUUCUUAAAUGUGUUGGAAUCCUUAAACCAAUCAUUCUUAAAUGAGUUAGAAUUCUUAAACCAAUCAUUCUUAAAUGUGUUGGAAUCCUUAAACCAAUCAUUCUUAAAUGUGUUGGAAUCCUUAAACCAAUCAUUCUUAAAUGUGUUGGAAUCCUUAAACCAAUCAUUCUUAAAUGUGUUGGAAUUCUUAAACCAAUCAUUCUUAAAUGUGUUGGAAUUCUUAAACCAAUCAUUCUUAAAUGAGUUGGAAUUCUUAAACCUACCAUUCUUAAAUGUGUCAGGAUUUUAGAACUAAUUAGAGAACCUUCGUCACCACGAGGAAAUUCUUUUGGAUUUUGUCGGAAGACUUUAAUGGGUGAACUAUGAAUUAAGGUUUUAGAUUAGAAAAUAACCCCAGCAUGAUAUGUUUAGUAUGAUUAUAAUGUUGUAAAGAGAGAGAAGGUAAAAACCCUGUAUACGUUUGGACCUAUUUUUCUUCAAAUAAACUGAUCCCACCUUUUGGAUUGGGACAA